AGUAGUAGUGUCAUAAAUGACUUCAUUUAUUAUCUUAUAGACUAGAAGUGCUAUGUUAUAAUAUAUUAUCUCUUCUCAUUAACUACAUGACAUAAUAUUUUUUUGAAAUGUGAUGUAUUACUAGUUAAGUUAUUUCCACUUUGACUAGCCUAAGAGUGUAUCAUUUUUUUUAUUAUUGUCUAGGGAGUUAACACUAUCUAUUCCUUUUCUUAAAUUAUAUAACCC
This 225-nucleotide long non-coding RNA is filed under the name Hordeum vulgare. RNAcentral's name for it is "long non-coding RNA (HVUL_LNC016413)". Lineage: Eukaryota; Viridiplantae; Streptophyta; Magnoliopsida; Poales; Poaceae. The record is from RNAcentral.